RNAcentral lists this ribosomal RNA (468 nucleotides) under uncultured bacterium. RNAcentral's name for it is "partial 16S ribosomal RNA". It matches the Rfam family "Bacterial small subunit ribosomal RNA", at positions 28 to 507 of the family's 1533-position model. The record is from RNAcentral.
GACGAACGCUGGCGGCGUGCUUAACACAUGCAAGUCGAACGGAAAGGCCCUGCUUUUGUGGGGUGCUCGAGUGGCGAACGGGUGAGUAACACGUGAGUAACCUGCCCUUGACUUUGGGAUAACUUCAGGAAACUGGGGCUAAUACCGGAUAGGAGCUCCUGCUGCAUGGUGGGGGUUGGAAAGUUUCGGCGGUUGGGGAUGGACUCGCGGCUUAUCAGCUUGUUGGUGGGGUAGUGGCUUACCAAGGCUUUGACGGGUAGCCGGCCUGAGAGGGUGACCGGCCACACUGGGACUGAGAUACGGCCCAGAAUCCUACGGGAGGCAGCAGUGGGGAAUAUUGCACAAUGGGCGGAAGCCUGAUGCAGCAACGCCGCGUGCGGGAUGACGGCCUUCGGGUUGUAAACCGCUUUCGCCUGUGACGAAGCGUGAGUGACGGUAAUGGGUAAAGAAGCACCGGCUAACUACGUG